Molecule: ribosomal RNA, 467 nt
Filed under: uncultured Tulasnella mycobiont of Riccardia palmata
Lineage: Eukaryota; Fungi; Basidiomycota; Agaricomycetes; Cantharellales; Tulasnellaceae
Description: eukaryotic LSU rRNA
Rfam family: 5.8S ribosomal RNA (bases 49-210)
Source: RNAcentral
CAUAUCUUUGAAUCCAAUCAUGACCACACGUACCCAAAGUAACUUUACAACCGGUAGCGUUGGAUCCCUUGGCACGUCAUUCGAUGAAGACCGUUGCAAAAUGCGAUAAGUGGUGUGAUAUGCAAGUCCAAAACUUAUACGUGAACCAUCRAAUUGUUGAACGCACUGCAUCGAGCCUUACCCAGGAACGAUACGCCCCAUUGAGCGUCAUUACGUCUUCGCGACACCGUCAUUUACCUGACGUGUCCGGGUUCGGGAUUCACAGCUCGCGCUGCGCUUCCUUAGAUACAUUGCUGCACACGGAUCGACAGUCUCCUUGUCAUAAAUGCCAGGGACGGCUUGAGAUGCGCAUGCAAGAUCGGUCUCUCGCGGACCUGAUCGAUCGCAACGGCCGGCUCACGCUGGUCCGCGCACUUCUACACAUGACCUCACGGGGGCGGGACGACCCGCUAGACUUAAGCAUAUUA